UAGCCUACGACGGGUACGGGUUGUGAGAGCAAGAGCCCGGAGAUGGAUUCUGAGACACGAAUCCAGCCCCUACGGGGUGCAGCAGGCGCGAAAACUUUACAAUGCUGGCAACAGCGAUAAGGGAACCUCGGGUGCCAGGUUACAAAUCUGGCUGUCGAGAUGCCUAAAAAGCAUUUCAUAGCAAGGGCCGGGCAAGACCGGUGCCAGCCGCCGCGGUAACACCGGCGGCUCGAGUGGUAACCGUUAUUAUUGGGUCUAAAGGGUCUGUAGCCGGCCGGAUAAGUCUCUUGAGAAAUCUGGCAGCUUAACUGUCAGGCUUUCAGGAGAUACUGUCUGGCUCGAGGCCGGGAGAGGUGAGAGGUACUUCAGGGGUAGGGGUGAAAUCUUGUAAUCCUUGAAGGACCACCAGUGGCGAAGGCGUCUCACCAGAACGGACCUGACGGCAAGGGACGAAAGCUAGGGGCACGAACCGGAUUAGAUACCCGGGUAGUCCUAGCCGUAAACGAUACUCGCUAGGUGUCGGCCACGGUGCGACCGUUGUCGGUGCCGUAGGGAAGCCGUGAAGCGAGCCACCUGGGAAGUACGGCCGCAAGGCUGAAACUUAAAGGAAUUGGCGGGGGAGCACCACAACGGGUGGAGCUUGCGGUUUAAUUGGAUUCAACGCCGGAAAUCUUACCGGGACCGACAGCAAUAUGAAGGCCAGGCUGAAGACUUUGCCGGAUUAGCUGAGAGGUGGUGCAUGGCCGUCGUCAGUUCGUACUGUGAAGCAUCCUGUUAAGUCAGGUAACGAGCGAGACCCA
This 800-nucleotide ribosomal RNA is filed under the name unidentified archaeon. Its description in RNAcentral is "bacterial SSU rRNA". It matches the Rfam family "Archaeal small subunit ribosomal RNA", at positions 254 to 1054 of the family's 1478-position model. The record is from RNAcentral.